GAGGGUAGAGCUCAGUGGUAGAGCGCAUGCCUAGCAAGCAUGAGGUCCCAGGUUCAAUCCCCAGUACCUUCA
This 72-nucleotide transfer RNA is filed under the name Camelus bactrianus (Bactrian camel). It matches the Rfam family "tRNA". Rfam says of the family: Transfer RNA (tRNA) molecules are approximately 80 nucleotides in length. Lineage: Eukaryota; Metazoa; Chordata; Mammalia; Artiodactyla; Camelidae. RNAcentral also lists the same sequence under 2 other names. The record is from Rfam by way of RNAcentral.